This 429-nucleotide ribosomal RNA is filed under the name Bacillota bacterium. RNAcentral's name for it is "Firmicutes bacterium partial 16S ribosomal RNA". It matches the Rfam family "Bacterial small subunit ribosomal RNA", at positions 355 to 776 of the family's 1533-position model. Lineage: Bacteria; Bacillati; Bacillota. The record is from RNAcentral.
UAGGGAAUCUUCGGCAAUGGACGGAAGUCUGAACGAGCAACGCCGCGUGAGUGAAGAAGGUUUUCGGAUCGUAAAGCUCUGUUGUUAGAGAAGAACGUUGGUAGGAGUGGAAAAUCUACCAAGUGACGGUAACUAACCAGAAAGGGACGGCUAACUACGUGCCAGCAGCCGCGGUAAUACGUAGGUCCCGAGCGUUGUCCGGAUUUAUUGGGCGUAAAGCGAGGGCAGGCGGUUCUUUAAGUCUGAAGUUAAAGGCAGUGGCUUAACCAUUGUACGCUUUGGAAACGGGGGGACUUUGGUGCAGAAGGGGAGAGUGGAAUUCCAUGUGUAGCGGUGAAAUGCGUAGAUAUAUGGAGGAACACCGGUGGCGAAAGCGGCUCUCUGGUCUGUAACUGACGCGGAGGCUCGAAAGCGUGGGGAGCAAACAGG